GCUGACUCCUAGUCCAGGGC
RNAcentral lists this microRNA (20 nucleotides) under Callithrix jacchus (white-tufted-ear marmoset). RNAcentral describes it as "cja-miR-345". Its record names the gene cja-miR-345. Lineage: Eukaryota; Metazoa; Chordata; Mammalia; Primates; Cebidae. The record is from miRBase by way of RNAcentral.